UACGUAGGUGGCAAGCGUUAUCCGGAUUUAUUGGGUGUAAAGGGCGUGUAGGCGGGAGCGCAAGUCAGAUGUGAAAACUCAGGGCUCAACCCUGAGCCUGCAUUUGAGACUGUGUUUCUUGAGUGCUGGAGAGGCAAUCGGAAUUCCGUGUGUAGCGGUGAAAUGCGUAGAUAUACGGAGGAACACCAGUGGUGAAGGCGGAUUGCUGGACAGUAACUGACGCUGAGGCGCGAAAGCGUGGGGAGCAAACAGG
Molecule: ribosomal RNA, 253 nt
Filed under: uncultured bacterium
Lineage: Bacteria
Description: partial 16S ribosomal RNA
Rfam family: Bacterial small subunit ribosomal RNA
Source: RNAcentral